This 834-nucleotide ribosomal RNA is filed under the name Polypedates leucomystax (Java whipping frog). RNAcentral describes it as "partial 16S ribosomal RNA". It matches the Rfam family "Bacterial large subunit ribosomal RNA", at positions 1538 to 2594 of the family's 2925-position model. The record is from RNAcentral. Lineage: Eukaryota; Metazoa; Chordata; Amphibia; Anura; Rhacophoridae.
AAAUACCAUUAAUUUUCAUGAACCCCUAAUCUAUAAUGAAUGACUCCAUAUUUAUAUGGAAGACACCAUGCUAGGAUUAGUAACAAGAAUUUAUAAUUCUCCAAAAUGCAAAUAUAAACCAACAUGGAUGGACCAUUGGUAGUUACCGAACCUAAAUUCAAUGCAACAACACCUACAAGAAAACUCUGCAGUACUUACUCGUUAACCUAACACCAGCGCAUUACAGGAAAGAUUUAAAAAAAGAGAAGGAAUUCGGCAAAUGACGGCCCCGCCUGUUUACCAAAAACAUCGCCUCUUGACUUAUAAUAAGAGGUCCAGCCUGCCCAGUGAAUUUUAAACGGCCGCGGUAUCCUAACCGCGCGAAGGUAGCAUAAUCACUUGUUCUUUAAAUGGGGACUCGUAUCAACGGCAUCACGAGGGUUUUACUGUCUCCUCUUUUUGAUCAGUGAAAUUGAUCUUCCCGUGAAGAAGCGGGAAUAAAUUUAUAAGACGAGAAGACCCCAUGGAGCUUUAAACCAAAUAACAACUUAACCACUUAUCCCAUAAUAAAUUUAAGCCCUGUUAUAAGGUUUUUGGUUGGGGUGACCGCGGAGUAAAACACAUCCUCCACGACGAAAAAAACAGAAUUUUUAUUUAAGAACCACACUUCUAGAAAUUAGUAUACUAACGUUUACUGACCCGACAAUCGAUCAACGGACCAAGUUACCCUGGGGAUAACAGCGCAAUCUACUUCAAGAGCUCAUAUCGACAAGUAGGCUUACGACCUCGAUGUUGGAUCAGGGUAUCCCGGUGGUGCAGCCGCUACCGAAGGUUCGUUUGUUCAACGAUUAAAAC